UGACAGUUUGUGAAAUAUAAAUAAACAAAAUUAAAAUUUGGUGGAGCUUAAGGACAUUGUGGGGUAGCUUUAGCACCCCUAAAAUAGGCCUAACAACGUCCCUGCUACUGAUAAUCAUAAA
This is a long non-coding RNA of Etheostoma cragini (Arkansas darter), 121 nucleotides long. RefSeq lists it as uncharacterized. NCBI's taxonomy places the organism in Eukaryota, Metazoa, Chordata, Actinopteri, Perciformes, Percidae. The transcript has 3 exons. The record is from RefSeq and is a predicted model, not a curated record.